RNAcentral lists this non-coding RNA (28 nucleotides) under Cricetulus griseus (Chinese hamster). Lineage: Eukaryota; Metazoa; Chordata; Mammalia; Rodentia; Cricetidae. The record is from RNAcentral.
AAUAUAGUUACUUUGGACUAGGGGGUGC